UCUGAGUAAUCAUUGAUUUUUUGAUAAACACUUUUCAACAAUUUCGAGUUAAGUUCGACUAAGUAGACUAGUACGUAAAUCAACUGUCAUUGCGAAAAUGUCAAAUGAUUGUGCAAACAAAAAAAAACUGUAUGUAUUACCCUACAUAAGCUGUUGAUUUUGUAUUUACAUAUAUUUAGAAAAUAAUUUUUACAUACAUACAAAUAAGUCACAUAUAUUCUGAAUGAAUAGCUCAAAUACAUACAUAUACGUAUAUACAUUUGUAAGUUCUUGUACCAUGUGUGUAACAGAAAAGGUCGCAGCAUUUCACCGUAGCGUGCAAUGUCAAAAGAGAGCGCGGAUAUUAGAGAGAUCCAUUUGUUGAUCGAGAAAAGAGAAAAAUGAAGCAGGCGGCUGCAAUGGCUCAGAUAUAUUCGCGUAUCUGAUGGUUACAGUUGUUCACAGUAGACGGCGUCUGCAUGUCGACGUGCGAUUGGGAAUUGAUAAUAUUGUGAUUGUAUCAAUAUUUACAUUACACACACGUAUAGGUAUACAAAGAACACAUAAUUUCAAAGCCAUUGACCUAAAUCGCAGUGUUAAAAUUCAAAACAAACCAGAAAAGGUGAAAACAAAUUGCAGUUUUGUACUUUGGAACAUUUAAAUGAGGUUCUGAUAAACAACUAUUAGAGGGCAAUAACACGACUGUACACCACACGUAGACGAUUCUAUGCCGAAGUAAAUAUUAAUUAUGAACAAUGAGACAACGCAACGACGGAACGUUUACAGAUAAAUCAGCAAGUUAGCGAGUGCACGCGGCAUUGUGUUGAGAACGAUAACAAUCAAGUUAGAAUUU
Non-coding RNA from Bactrocera oleae (olive fruit fly), 832 nucleotides. NCBI's taxonomy places the organism in Eukaryota, Metazoa, Arthropoda, Insecta, Diptera, Tephritidae. The record is from RefSeq and is a predicted model, not a curated record.